GGCCUCGUAGCUCAGCUGGUAGAGUUCUCGCGAUACUGUAGCGAGGGUGGUAACCAUGCGUGGGUUCGAAUCCCGCCGGGGCCA
Molecule: transfer RNA, 84 nt
Filed under: Fasciola hepatica (liver fluke)
Lineage: Eukaryota; Metazoa; Platyhelminthes; Trematoda; Plagiorchiida; Fasciolidae
Rfam family: tRNA
About the family: Transfer RNA (tRNA) molecules are approximately 80 nucleotides in length. Their secondary structure includes four short double-helical elements and three loops (D, anti-codon, and T loops). Further hydrogen bonds mediate the characteristic L-shaped molecular structure. tRNAs have two regions of fundamental functional importance: the anti-codon, which is responsible for specific mRNA codon recognition, and the 3' end, to which the tRNAs corresponding amino acid is attached (by aminoacyl-tRNA synthetases). tRNAs cope with the degeneracy of the genetic code in two manners: having more than one tRNA (with a specific anti-codon) for a particular amino acid; and 'wobble' base-pairing, i.e. permitting non-standard base-pairing at the 3rd anti-codon position.
Source: Rfam by way of RNAcentral